Molecule: non-coding RNA, 81 nt
Organism: Podarcis lilfordi (Lilford's wall lizard)
Lineage: Eukaryota; Metazoa; Chordata; Lepidosauria; Squamata; Lacertidae
Source: the annotation of a GenBank genome assembly
GGAGGUAGGGCCAUAGCUCAGUGGUAGAACAUCUGCUUUCCACGCAGAAAGUCCCAGGUUCUGUCUCCCAUGGCAUCUCCA